AUUGAACGCUGGCGGCAGGCCUAACACAUGCAAGUCGAGCGGAUGAAGGGAGCUUGCUCCUGGAUUCAGCGGCGGACGGGUGAGUAAUGCCUAGGAAUCUGCCUGGUAGUGGGGGAUAACGUCCGGAAACGGGCGCUAAUACCGCAUACGUCCUGAGGGAGAAAGUGGGGGAUCUUCGGACCUCACGCUAUCAGAUGAGCCUAGGUCGGAUUAGCUAGUUGGUGGGGUAAAGGCCUACCAAGGCGACGAUCCGUAACUGGUCUGAGAGGAUGAUCAGUCACACUGGAACUGAGACACGGUCCAGACUCCUACGGGAGGCAACAGUGGGGAAUAUUGGACAAUGGGCGAAAGCCUGAUCCAGCCAUGCCGCGUGUGUGAAGAAGGUCUUCGGAUUGUAAAGCACUUUAAGUUGGGAGGAAGGGCAGUAAGUUAAUACCUUGCUGUUUUGACGUUACCAACAGAAUAAGCACCGGCUAACUUCGU
This 483-nucleotide ribosomal RNA is filed under the name uncultured bacterium. Its description in RNAcentral is "partial 16S ribosomal RNA". It matches the Rfam family "Bacterial small subunit ribosomal RNA", at positions 30 to 506 of the family's 1533-position model. The record is from RNAcentral.